AGGAGAGUUUGAUCCUGGCUCAGGAUGAACGCUAGCUACAGGCUUAACACAUGCAAGUCGAGGGGCAUCAGGGAUCUAGCUUGCUAGAUUUGCUGGCGACCGGCGCACGGGUGAGUAACGCGUAUCCAACCUUCCCCCCAGUAGGGCAUAGCCCGGCGAAAGUCGGAUUAAUACCCUAUGUUUUCCAAUGAGGACAUCUGAGUUGGAACAAAGAUUCAUCGCUAGGGGAUGGGGAUGCGUCCGAUUAGGUUGUUGGCGGGGUAACGGCCCACCAAGCCCGCGAUCGGUAGGGGUUCUGAGAGGAAGGUCCCCCACACUGGUACUGAGACACGGACCAGACUCCUACGGGAGGCAGCAGUGAGGAAUAUUGGUCAAUGGGCGAGAGCCUGAACCAGCCAAGUAGCGUGCAGGAUGACGGCCCUAUGGGUUGUAAACUGCUUUUAUGCGGGGAUAAAGUGACGUACGUGUACGUUUUUGUAGGUACCGCAUGAAUAAGGACCGGCUAAUUCCGUGCCAGCAGCCGCGGUAAUACGGAAGGUCCGGGCGUUAUCCGGAUUUAUUGGGUUUAAAGGGAGCGCAGGCGGGGAGCUAAGCGUGACGUGAAAUGUAGCCGCUCAACGGCUGAACUGCGUCGCGAACUGGCUUUCUUGAGUGAGUACGACGUCAGCGGAAUUCGUGGUGUAGCGGUGAAAUGCUUAGAUAUCACGAAGAACCCCGAUUGCGAAGGCAGCUGACGAGUCCUUUACUGACGCUAAAGCUCGAAGGUGCGGGUAUCGAACAGGAUUAGAUACCCUGGUAGUCCCCU
This 805-nucleotide ribosomal RNA is filed under the name uncultured Bacteroidota bacterium. Its description in RNAcentral is "bacterial SSU rRNA". It matches the Rfam family "Bacterial small subunit ribosomal RNA", at positions 1 to 799 of the family's 1533-position model. Lineage: Bacteria; Pseudomonadati; Bacteroidota. The record is from RNAcentral.